Molecule: long non-coding RNA, 603 nt
Filed under: Vigna radiata
Lineage: Eukaryota; Viridiplantae; Streptophyta; Magnoliopsida; Fabales; Fabaceae
Description: long non-coding RNA (VRAD_LNC001817)
Source: RNAcentral
GGUGUCGCGGCCCAUACAAAUUUGAUUGCAUAUGAGAAAUGCAGUAUAGCUAGGGAAUGACCCCUAGGUCGUCUCUCAAGGACCAAAAGUGGUUCGAGUAUUAGGUCUAACACGAAGUGGGGGGGGUUGUGAAAGGUUGUUUGUGGUGAAUGCGGAAAUUUUAAAAUGAAAUUAAAACAGUAAAAACGAAAAUUCACGCUGGAACUAGGCAGCUCUGACCUUUGUUCAAUGUUUUAACCAUAACUUUUUCUACAGAGCUCUAAAUGACAUGAGGUUUUUUUUCCUGGAAAGUAGACUCAAUUAUCUUUCAUUUGAUAUAUAAAACGUAGCAUUUGGAGCUCUGGUGUGGUUGCAGUUAUUUUUUUAAAAUUGAGUCCAGAGAGUGAAAAUGCUAAACCAAAUACUAGACUAAACAAAUAUCUAAGCACAGUUAAAUUAAAUGCAAAAAUAAAUUAAAGAAAUUAAAAACAACUAAUCCUACAAUGCAAAUUAAUUUAAAACACAAGAAAUAAAUAACACAAACUCCUACUAGCAAUUUAUAUGACCAAUGCAUCUACUAAUGAAAUUGAAAAUUCCAAUUGGUAUAAAAAUACCCUCCAGCCG